This is a non-coding RNA of Coemansia sp. RSA 1200, 85 nucleotides long. The record is from the annotation of a GenBank genome assembly. NCBI's taxonomy places the organism in Eukaryota, Fungi, Kickxellomycota, Kickxellomycetes, Kickxellales, Kickxellaceae.
AGUUGUGUGGCAGAGUGGUCUAUGGCGCCGGACUUGGGGUUUGUUCCUCAAAAGGGUGUUGUGGAUUCGAAUCCCACCAUAAUUA